Molecule: ribosomal RNA, 495 nt
Filed under: uncultured bacterium
Lineage: Bacteria
Description: partial 16S ribosomal RNA
Rfam family: Bacterial small subunit ribosomal RNA
Source: RNAcentral
GACGAACGCUGGCGGCGUGCCUAAUACAUGCAAGUAGAACGCUGAAGGAGGAGCUUGCUUCUCUGGAUGAGUUGCGAACGGGUGAGUAACGCGUAGGUAACCUGCCUGGUAGCGGGGGAUAACUAUUGGAAACGAUAGCUAAUACCGCAUAAGAGUAGAUGUUGCAUGACAUUUGCUUAAAAGGUGCAAUUGCAUCACUACCAGAUGGACCUGCGUUGUAUUAGCUAGUUGGUGGGGUAACGGCUCACCAAGGCGACGAUACAUAGCCGACCUGAGAGGGUGAUCGGCCACAAUGGGACUGGGACACCGCCCAGACUCCUACGGGAGGCAGCAGGAGGGAAUCUUCGGCAAUGGACGGAAGUCUGAACGAGCAACGCCGCGUGAGUGAAGGAGGGUUUCGGAUCGGAAAGCUCUGUUGUAAGAGAAGAACGAGUGUGAGAGUGGAAAGUUCACACUGUGACGGUAUCUUACCAGAAAGGGACGGCUAACUACGUG